GUUCGGUUUGAUAGCUUUAUGGCUCCUUCCCCUUUAGAGGGAGUACUUAUGGAUGGGGAAAAGCUUUUGCCCCUGUUAUUCUACUUAGGUGGAGCAUCUUAUUUCUAGCUUAAUGAUGAUAUGAUAUUUCAUGUGUUUGCUUAUGAUGAAGUCAGAUCAAAUGUCUUGACAUCCUAUCUGAGAGAAUUGAUUUUUUCUCUAAAGCAGGUUCUGUGUGUGAGAGUUUAUUUCUCUCUAUUGCGAGGCUAGGUUUUUCUGUUGUGCUUUCCUUUGUGUGUUUUGUUUUUUCGAUGAUCCAAAUUUAUUUGUGUUUUUUUGUUUUUGCUUGUUUGCUGGUUUUUGUUACCCUCGUUCUAGUUGGUUUUGCAAAGAUUGUUUUAGCCAAAAUUUGCCAAAGGGGGAGAUUGUUAGAUCUGGUGUGUUAGUUAUUUGAUGCAUUUUGGGAAAACAAAGAUGUUGGGCAAGAUGUCUUGACUUGUUGGUACGACAUCAUAGCGAGCCCUGUUUCAGUUUCUCU
RNAcentral lists this long non-coding RNA (517 nucleotides) under Lathyrus oleraceus (garden pea). Its description in RNAcentral is "Pisum sativum (pea) long non-coding RNA (PSAT_LNC036855)". The record is from RNAcentral. Lineage: Eukaryota; Viridiplantae; Streptophyta; Magnoliopsida; Fabales; Fabaceae.